GUUACAAAACGGGGUGAGUGGUGGGCGUGGCCUGCGAGCCCGAUUUGACGGGCUGCUGGGCGGCCGGGUUGUGCUGAAUACUCAGGCAGCAAGCACGGCCCCGGUCGCCGCGCAGCUCUUAGUCAAGGCGUGGCACUUUGGGGUCACCGGAAAGUCAGGAGCCUCGGAGCCCUGAACAGUGUAAGGGCCAUCACCGGGCUGUACAUGGUGGUGCUGUGCUGGGCCAUCUGUUACACUAUACACGUCACAACACCCCCCCCCCCCCUCACCAAACAUCCUCACUCACACCCUCACUCAGCCACAACCACCCACACCCCAUUAUGUCUUCCUUCCCCCACCAACUCUUAAAAUCUGCUUACCCCAACUUGGCCGAACGAACAUCCAUCACAAUUGUCUCUCUCUCACUCUUAGUUUUUUUUUGAGAGAGAGAGAGAGAGAGAGAGAGAGAGAGAGAGAGAGAGAGAGAGAGACUUAAAAUAGGACCUAACUUGCCUAUAAAAAAGUGUUAUUGUAUAUUUUAGGAAAAAUAGUUAAACUGAAAUAAGAACACUGUAAGGAGGGGUCCUAUUGUACUAUAAAGAGAGCCUCUGUAAAGGAAAAGGUUAAUGUAAAGAUAUGGAGGGUAGUGUCAUGUAAAGGAAGUUAGAGGCAAUGCAUAGAGGAGUACCUAUAUAUGAAGGGAAGUUAGUGCCCAUAUAUAAAGUUAAGUGCCAAGAUGUAAAUGAACUUAGUAUCGAUAUGUAAAGGAAGUUAGAGCCGUAUGUAAAGGAAAGACUGCCAAUAUGUAAAUGAAGGGAGUGCUAGAGUAUAAAAUAAUAUUGCCAAUAUCUAAAGGAAGGGAGUGUCAGAGUAUAAGGUAACAUAGUGCCAGUAUGUAGAAGAGGGGCGUGCUAGAGUAUAAGGUAGUGGAGUGCCAAUAUCUAAAGGAAGGGAGUGUCGGAGUAUAAGGUAACAUAGUGCCAGUAUGUAGAAGAGGGGAGUGCUAGAGUAUAAGGUAGUGGAGUGCCAAUAUCUAAAGGAAGGGAGUGUCAGAGUAUAAGGUAACAUAGUGCCAGUAUGUAGAAGAGGGGAGUGCUAGAGUAUAAGGUAGUGGAGUGCCAAUAUCUAAAGGAAGGGAGUGUCAGAGUAUAAGGUAACAGUGCCAGUAUGUAGAAGAGGGGAGUGCUAGAGUAUAAGGUAGUAGAGUGCCAAUAUCUAAAGGAAGGGAGUGUCAGAGUAUAAGGUAACAGUGCCAGUAUGUAAAAGAGGGGAGUGCUAGAGUAUAAGGUAGUAGAGUGCCAAUAUCUAAAGGAAGGGAGUGCCGAUGUGAACAGAAGAAAUGGUGCAAACUUCAAGCGGGAACAAAAGCCACUAAUGAGAAAACGAUUCGCUCUUGUGUGUCGUAGCGGUGCCGGUGUUGAGGAGUAGAGUGCCAGGUAGAGGAAUGAGUGCCUCUUCU
Molecule: long non-coding RNA, 1438 nt
Organism: Eriocheir sinensis (Chinese mitten crab)
Lineage: Eukaryota; Metazoa; Arthropoda; Malacostraca; Decapoda; Varunidae
Exons: 3
Source: RefSeq, a predicted model, not a curated record